CCUCCGGUAGCUUAGUGGUUAGAGUUCUAGUUUGAUAGACCGGAGGUGGUGGGUUCGAUUACCACCUGAGGCA
RNAcentral lists this transfer RNA (73 nucleotides) under Lucilia cuprina (Australian sheep blowfly). It matches the Rfam family "tRNA". From Rfam's summary of the family: Transfer RNA (tRNA) molecules are approximately 80 nucleotides in length. Their secondary structure includes four short double-helical elements and three loops (D, anti-codon, and T loops). The record is from Rfam by way of RNAcentral. Lineage: Eukaryota; Metazoa; Arthropoda; Insecta; Diptera; Calliphoridae.